UACGUAGGUGGCAAGCGUUGUCCGGAAUUAUUGGGCGUAAAGCGCGCGCAGGCGGUCCUUUAAGUCUGAUGUGAAAGCCCACGGCUCAACCGUGGAGGGUCAUUGGAAACUGGGGACUUGAGUACAGAAGAGAAGAGUGGAAUUCCACGUGUAGCGGUGAAAUGCGUAGAGAUGUGGAGGAACACCAGUGGCGAAGGCGACUCUUUGGUCUGUAACUGACGCUGAGGCGCGAAAGCGUGGGGAGCAACAGG
This 251-nucleotide ribosomal RNA is filed under the name uncultured bacterium. RNAcentral describes it as "partial 16S ribosomal RNA". It matches the Rfam family "Bacterial small subunit ribosomal RNA", at positions 524 to 775 of the family's 1533-position model. The record is from RNAcentral.